This is a non-coding RNA of Paramuricea clavata, 564 nucleotides long. NCBI's taxonomy places the organism in Eukaryota, Metazoa, Cnidaria, Anthozoa, Malacalcyonacea, Plexauridae. The record is from the annotation of a GenBank genome assembly.
AUCACACAUAAUAUUAUGUAUACAUGCACUUAUAAAUCUUAACAAAAACGUUCAGAAUUAGUAAUAAAGUCCUGCACAAGUGAAAAUUUAACAUCAGGAUGUCCAUAUAAAAACCAUUGAAGGCGCAUCGAGGUUGUUUCAUUUGCUAAAGUGGAGCUUUUUUUAUGUAUUUUCCCCUAUGUACAGCUUUGUUAAUAUUUACAAAUAUUUUCUAAUAAUAUUGGGCUAGGGACCUACUAGAAACCCUAACAGGCUUUUUAAUUUAGGCCUCUAUGUUUCAUUAGCAGUGGUUUUAGCCCUAGAACCGAUCGAUGUUCGUCAGUGCCAUCAUUACAGCAGCCAAUCAGAUGCAUGCUAAGGUCCGGUGUCAAGGGAAAUUUCUGACCUUUGCGAAAUACCUGGCCAACCGUGACGGCUCACCUAAAGACAAGCAAAAGCAUUUUAAACGUUAACCAUAUGGCAGAUGAGGCCGCAGAUCUCUGCUUUUUCACAUUCAGAAAGAUAUCUGACUCUGUGUAUUAAUAUUGUAUUAGUAUAGGAAAAAUAUGAUUGAAAAACAGCUUG